This 220-nucleotide unclassified non-coding RNA is filed under the name plant metagenome. Its description in RNAcentral is "partial contains small subunit ribosomal RNA, internal transcribed spacer 1, and 5.8S ribosomal RNA". The record is from RNAcentral.
UCUCCGUUGGUGAACCAGCGGAGGGAUCAUUAAAGAGUUGCAAAACUCCCAAACCCUUGUGGACAUACCCGUUACAGUUGCUUCGGUAGGCGGCCCCAGGCAGGGGCCGCAGCCUCUUCUCACGAGGCGCCCGCCUGAGGUAUAUAACUCUUUGUAUUGUGGUCUCUCUGAGUAAAUUUAUAAUAAGUCAAAACUUUUAACAACGGAUCUCUUGGUUCUG